CUCAUAUUUUAUUGGAGACACAACAUUGAUAAAUUUUGUAAGUUUCAACAAGAAAGCCCGAAUGUUCCAUAAUUAUAAAGCAUCUUGAAGUAAAAUUACACCAUUAAUUCUUCUUCUUAAUUUAGAAGAACAAGAAGAAGUCGAUAAACACGCAUAAUGUCAACAACUGUGACACAUCAAGUUGGUUACAAGUACAAAUACAUGCAUAAAAUAACAUACACAGUACAUUUUAUUUAUUUCUAUCCCAAUAAUUCCCAUGCAUGGAUAGAUUAACGUAACACUUGGUAAUUAUCAAUCUUGGGCGAAUAGGCCAACAGUGGCCUGAGCGACAAGUCCAAUAUUAGCAAGUGAGAGUUGCAAGGAUCCCAGCAAUGCCAGUUCUUGGUAAAUUACCAGUUGCUGAACAAGCUAGGGUUCCAUUCACUGGUAAACCUAACACAUUUUGACCAUUUAUAGUUAAUAAUGCAUGGGUAUGUGUGGCUGUAGCUAUGAAGAAAAGUGCUAGAGCAAGAAUGGAAGUUGUGGAAGAGGCCAUGGUAUUGAGAUAUAUGUGAUACUUAAUUUAGAGGAAAUGCUUU
This 578-nucleotide long non-coding RNA is filed under the name Nicotiana benthamiana. RNAcentral describes it as "long non-coding RNA (NBEN_LNC028904)". The record is from RNAcentral. Lineage: Eukaryota; Viridiplantae; Streptophyta; Magnoliopsida; Solanales; Solanaceae.